This 642-nucleotide ribosomal RNA is filed under the name uncultured bacterium. Its description in RNAcentral is "bacterial SSU rRNA". It matches the Rfam family "Bacterial small subunit ribosomal RNA", at positions 134 to 773 of the family's 1533-position model. The record is from RNAcentral.
UAGUGGGGAUAACGUUCGGAAACGGACGCUAAUACCGCAUACGUCCUACGGGAGAAAGCAGGGACCUUCGGGCCCUGCGCUAUCAGAUGAGCCUAGGUCGGAUUAGCUAGUUGGUGAGGUAAUGGCUCACCAAGGCGACGAUCCGUAACUGGUCUGAGAGGAUGAUCAGUCACACUGGAACUGAGACACGGUCCAGACUCCUACGGGAGGCAGCAGUGGGGAAUAUUGGACAAUGGGCGAAAGCCUGAUCCAGCCAUGCCGCGUGUGUGAAGAAGGUCUUCGGAUUGUAAAGCACUUUAAGUUGGGAGGAAGGGUUGUAGAUUAAUACUCUGCAAUUUUGACGUUACCGACAGAAUAAGCACCGGCUAACUCUGUGCCAGCAGCCGCGGUAAUACAGAGGGUGCAAGCGUUAAUCGGAAUUACUGGGCGUAAAGCGCGCGUAGGUGGUUUGUUAAGUUGGAUGUGAAAUCCCCGGGCUCAACCUGGGAACUGCAUUCAAAACUGACUGACUAGAGUAUGGUAGAGGGUGGUGGAAUUUCCUGUGUAGCGGUGAAAUGCGUAGAUAUAGGAAGGAACACCAGUGGCGAAGGCGACCACCUGGACUAAUACUGACACUGAGGUGCGAAAGCGUGGGGAGCAAAC